This 242-nucleotide ribosomal RNA is filed under the name uncultured bacterium. RNAcentral's name for it is "partial 16S ribosomal RNA". It matches the Rfam family "Bacterial small subunit ribosomal RNA", at positions 524 to 771 of the family's 1533-position model. The record is from RNAcentral.
GACAGAGGAUGCAAGCGUUAUCCGGAAUGAUUGGCGUAAAGCGUCUGUAGGUGGCUUUUAAGUCCGCCGUCAAAUCCCAGGCUCAACCCUGGACAGGCGGUGGAAACUACCAAGCUGGAGUACGGUAGGGCAGAGGGAAUUUCCGGUGGAGCGGUGAAAUGCGUAGAGAUCGGAAAGAACACCAACGGCGAAAGCACUCUGCUGGCCGACACUGACACUGAGAGACGAAAGCUAGGGAGCGA